GACAAUUUUUCGUAAGAUGAGGCACCGACUAUACAGUAGAUGCCUUUCGACGAGCUGAUCAUCCGUCCAAGGCGUCCUACGGUCUGCAAGAAUGAUCACGAAACCGAGAAAUCAGACCUAUGCUCCAAACUGUGAGCGGGACGAAUCCUUCAGAGCUUUAACAGGUGGCUUCUCCUAAUUAUAUUUUCUGUUCUAUGUAAAGCAAUACGAGAAAUGUGAACCUUCGGACUACAAAAAGAAAAACUCUGCCUGUCUUAUAUAUGAUAGUCAUUAAAGCCAUGUGAAAUGUUGA
Cryptotermes secundus is the source of this 292-nucleotide long non-coding RNA. RefSeq lists it as uncharacterized. The transcript is spliced from 2 exons. The record is from RefSeq and is a predicted model, not a curated record. NCBI's taxonomy places the organism in Eukaryota, Metazoa, Arthropoda, Insecta, Blattodea, Kalotermitidae.